Molecule: ribosomal RNA, 420 nt
Filed under: bacterium
Lineage: Bacteria
Description: partial 16S ribosomal RNA
Rfam family: Bacterial small subunit ribosomal RNA
Source: RNAcentral
UGGGGGAUAUUGCACAAUGGGCGAAAGCCUGAUGCAGCGACGCCGCGUGGGGGAUGAAGGCUUUCGGGUUGUAAACCUCUUUCGCUAUCGAACAAGGCCCGCUUAGGGUGGGUUGAGGAUAGGUGGAGAAGAAGCGCCGGCUAACUACGUGCCAGCAGCCGCGGUAAUACGUAGGGCGCGAGCGUUGUCCGGAAUUAUUGGGCGUAAAGGGCUUGUAGGCGGCUUGUUGCGCCUGCUGUGAAAACGCGGGGCUUAACUUCGCGCGUGCAGUGGGUACGGGCAGGCUUGAGUGUGGUAGGGGUGACUGGAAUUCCAGGUGUAGCGGUGGAAUGCGCAGAUAUCUGGAGGAACACCGAUGGCGAAGGCAGGUCACUGGGCCAUUACUGACGCUGAGGAGCGAAAGCAUGGGUAGCGAACAGG